CAGUCGCCACGGUAAUACGUAGGGUGCGAGCGUUAGUCGGAAUUACUGGGCGUAAAGCGUGCGCAGGCGGUUUGUUAAGACAGAUGUGAAAUCCCCGGGCUUAACCUGGGAACUGCAUUUGUGACUGGCCGGCUAGAGUAUGGCAGAGGGAGGUGGAAUUCCACGUGUAGCAGUGAAAUGCGUAGAUAUGUGGAGGAACACCGAUGGCGAAGGCAGCCUCCUGGGCCAAUACUGACGCUCAUGCACGAAAGCGUGGGGAGCAAACAGGAUUAGAUACCCCGGUAGUCCCUGUCUCUUAUAC
RNAcentral lists this ribosomal RNA (301 nucleotides) under uncultured bacterium. RNAcentral describes it as "partial 16S ribosomal RNA". It matches the Rfam family "Bacterial small subunit ribosomal RNA", at positions 509 to 807 of the family's 1533-position model. The record is from RNAcentral.